This 864-nucleotide small RNA is filed under the name Theobroma cacao (cacao). Its description in RNAcentral is "sRNA Tc09v2_g017830". Lineage: Eukaryota; Viridiplantae; Streptophyta; Magnoliopsida; Malvales; Malvaceae. The record is from RNAcentral.
AGGAAAAGAAUACUUUCACUAGGCAAUUUCAAGCUCAUUUCUUAUUAUAUCCUCCCACACUAAGAAAUAGCAAACAAGUGACUUUGCCUUGAGAGAUCUACACGCACCUUUGAGAAAAAAGAAAGAGAAUCAACCUUGAAAGCAAAAAGAAGGAAAGAAGGAGAAAGAAGAAAAAAAAAGGAGGAAAAAGAAAAAGGUUUGGAGGAGGCUCGGUUUUGGGGAAGAUUAGAGAAAAAUCGAAAGGUUUUCUCUUUCAUGCCAUUGUUGGAGCUUUGAAAAGGCAUGAGAGGUUCGGCCUAGUGAUUCCAAGCUAAGGAAGGAUCUACAAAGAUUCAAAGAACCAGGUGCAUGCAUGCAGCUUGUUCUUGAAAGUAUGGUGAGUUAAAGCAAGACAACUAACGGCAAUGGUGACCAAAGAUGUGAGGAAUUUGUGAGAUAUAUGUGGAAUUCACGAUAAAAAUCAAAAGGAAGUGUAUAAGUGAGGAAAGUUGUUGUGGUGGCAUACCGGAGGAGUUAACGGGUGACCAGCGAGCUAGAUUAGCUAGAGACACAUCUGAACCAAUAGUGACGUAGUGUCCCACUAUUGUGAGAUAAGUGAUCAGCUUAAGUGUAUCACCCCAAUAUUUUGACUCGCUGCGACGUAGGUAAUGGCAUCUCUUAGACUUCCACUCCGAGUCACUCUGUUGCACAAGGCUCAUGUUAUGUAAAACUGUUAGAUUCAUAAAAUUAUUAUUAGUCUUUCGGAUAUGUAUUUGAUAAAAACUUUGAGGUUGUGUAUUAGACGCUAAGUGUGAUGUUGAAACUAUCUUGAAGUUGGUUAAACGUGGAUAUUGUAUCUAGUUGCUACACUUUAAUUACAGCUAU